RNAcentral lists this ribosomal RNA (393 nucleotides) under uncultured bacterium. RNAcentral's name for it is "partial 16S ribosomal RNA". It matches the Rfam family "Bacterial small subunit ribosomal RNA", at positions 523 to 918 of the family's 1533-position model. The record is from RNAcentral.
AUACGGAGGAUGCAAGCGUUAUCCGGAUUUAUUGGGUUUAAAGGGUGCGUAGGCGGGACUGUAAGUCAGGGGUGAAAUACUGCAGCUUAACUGUAGCAUUGCCUUUGAAACUGCCGUUCUUGAGUACAGUUGAGGUAGGCGGAAUGUGGUGUGUAGCGGUGAAAUGCAUAGAUAUACCACAGAACGCCGAUUGCGAAGGCAGCUUACUAAGCUGUUACUGACGCUGAGGCACGAAAGCGUGGGGAUCAAACAGGAUUAGAUACCCUGGUAGUCCACGCUGUAAACGAUGAUUACUGGUUGUUAGCGAUAUAUAGCUAGUGACUGAGCGAAAACAUUAAGUAAUCCACCUGGGGAGUACGUCGGCAACGAUGAAACUCAAAUGAAUCGACGGGG